AUUGAACGCUGGCGGCAGGCCUAACACAUGCAAGUCGAGCGGAUGAAGGGAGCUUGCUCCUGGAUUCAGCGGCGGACGGGUGAGUAAUGCCUAGGAAUCUGCCUGUUAGUGGGGGAUAACGUCCGGAAACGGGCGCUAAUACCGCAUACGUCCUGAGGGAGAAAGUGGGGGAUCUUCGGACCUCACGCUAUCAGAUGAGCCUAGGUCGGAUUAGCUAGUUGGUGGGGUAAAGGCCUACCAAGGCGACGAUCCGUAACUGGUCUGAGAGGAUGAUCAGUCACACUGGAACUGAGACACGGUCAAGACUCCUACGGGAGGAAGCAGUGGGAAUAUUGGACAAUGGGCGAAAGCCUGAUCCAGCCAUGCCGCGUGUGUGAAGAAGGUCUUCGGAUUGUAAAGCACUUUAAGUUGGGAGGAAGGGCAGUAAGUUAAUACCUUGCUGUUUUGACGUUACCAACAGAAUAAGCACCGGCUAACUUCGUG
This 483-nucleotide ribosomal RNA is filed under the name uncultured bacterium. RNAcentral describes it as "partial 16S ribosomal RNA". It matches the Rfam family "Bacterial small subunit ribosomal RNA", at positions 30 to 507 of the family's 1533-position model. The record is from RNAcentral.